This 2711-nucleotide transfer RNA is filed under the name Sus scrofa (pig). RNAcentral describes it as "lncRNA (ENSSSCG00015000960.1)". Lineage: Eukaryota; Metazoa; Chordata; Mammalia; Artiodactyla; Suidae. The record is from RNAcentral.
AGCCACAGCUGCAACCUCCGUCACAGCUGGAGCUGCACUGGAUCCUUUAAUCCACUGCACAGGGCUGGGGGUUGUACCUGUGGCUCCACAGUGACCCGAGCUGCUGCAGUCUGAUGCUUAACCCACGGCCCCACAGCAGGAACUCCAAGAAAGUGCUUGAAGAGUGAGUGGAGCGUUGGAAGAUGGCAUGCUUCCUGCAGAAUCGCAAGAGGACUGUGAGAGAAAUCAGAUGUGAUUCUCCACCAGGGGAUAGGAAGGGCUUUCUAGGAGGAGGGACCAGGUGACACAGAUAUGGCGGGAGGAGAAGAAACCAGAAGUCUGGUUUCUUAGGAGAACAGUGAGUAAUGGGUGGGUUCAGGGAACACUGAGAAUGGGUGGCAGACAGGCAGGCGUAGCAUGGUGGCUUUGAAGGAGGUGGUGGAGAGAGAGGGAAAGAGAGAGACUGCCCGAUGAAGGAAUUAGAACACAGACGACGGUAGGGACGGAGGGUCUGGAAGCACCAUCUCCAUUGCAGUAGCAGGGUCCCCUGGGAGUAGCUGUAACUCAGAGGAGGCUGGGGACAAUUCAGCCUAACAGAGGAUGUGGAGCAAUCUGUUCACUGCAGCUCAGAGUUUCAGGGGACACAGAGAAAGUAGGGGGGAAAUAGAAGACAGGCAGGGAUGAGUGGGGGUUUGGGGUAGGAGGAAGCAACUCUAAAACUGGACAGUGAUGACACUGAGAAAGGGGAUGGAGUAGGUGGUCCCCGAGCCUGGGAUUCGGGUUCUAAAGACAGUUAAUGGAAAGGAAAUACAGAAGCAGACGUACCCUUUUGAGUUAUACAAAUCAUCUGUAAAAUACAGAAUGUCCCUAGGGUCUUGAAUUCAUCCGCUGCACAGGAAGUAGCCGUCAUGUGUCUCAGCGGCAUAUUGUGUGUAUUUUGAAGGGCACCUCCCACGUGACAGGACAAGGUGACCAUUCCUGAAGGAUGAGUUGCGAGAGUGAUGGCAAGAACCAUCUCCCAUCUGGGAUUCCUUUGGGGGUGUGGGGGCAGCAGCUGCCAGCACCCCCCUGCUUUGUUUCAUGCUUGUUACUGAGAACAGGGAGUUUAGUUUGUCUGCUGGAGAGAUGGUGUGACUUGGCUGCAUUUGUUCUCUUUAAGUAGUAUUUCUGGAGGGACUGGGGGCUUUAUCUUUGUGAUAAAGCCAGUGCACAUGAUCCUUUCUGUGUGUGUGUGUGUGUGUGUGUGUGUGUCUAUGUGGCAGAUACUUUCUGUCAAUGAUCUUCAGAAUGACUUUUAAAUCAUUUAAAAUGGUGUGUUAUAGAGUUCGUUCUGUGACACACUGGGUUAAGAAUCCAGCUGCAGUGGCUCAGGUUCGAUCCCCAGCCCAUGCAGUGGGUUCAGGGAUCUGGUGUUGCUGCAGCCGCGGCUUGGAUUCAGUCCCCUGCCCAGGAACGUCCUUAUGCUGCAGGUGUGGCCAUAAAAAAAAAUAGAUAGAAAAAUAGAUAGAUUAAUUAAUUUUAAAAUGGUACUUUAAGGGAGUUCCCUGGUGGUCUAGUGGUUAGGAUUUGGAGCUUUCACCACUGUGGUCCAGGAUCAGUCCCUGAUCUGGAAACUGAGAUCCCACGUCAAGCUGCUACAUGCCGUGACCUAAAUAAAAUAAAGUAAAAGAAAAUAAAAUGCAAUAAAAUGAUACUUCAAGCAUUAAACAGAGCUUAUUACUCUUUGUUGGAGCUUAAGUAGCAUUGAAACGUCUCACAUGCCUUCGCAUCCAGGAAGCAUUUCUUCAGUGUCUUCUUGGUGCAUAACUAUGUUUUGGUGCAUCAUUCAAAACCAUGCUGGACACUGAAGGUCAUCGGGAUUCAUCAGACAGAGGUCACAUCCUUGGGGGUCUGAUUGACCACAGAGUCCCUACUUUUCAGUUCCUUUGAUUUUUAUGUAUUUCAUCAGGGUAAUAAGAUAAGGUCACAAAAAGGAGUGAUGGGGGUCCAGGGGUCUUUCCCCCUUUUCUUGUCCCAUUUAGUAUGGACGAUAGGAACACCUUUGGCUGAAGGUGAGAAUAUUGGAGCGUGCAUAUAUGCUUUACCUGUAAGGGGUAGCGGAGAUUCAGGUUAGAAAUCUGAAUCCGCCUUUCUGCUUAAACUGCAUGCUGUUUCUGAAGUUGGUAAGGACCGGCCUUGGUGUUGCCAUGGGGAUGAAGACGUGCAAGGACCCACCAUUAGACAAUCUGUUUGAAACUCUGAGAACCUUCGAGCCACAGGGAAGUGGUGCUGGGUAGGGCUGGUAACAGUGCCCUGGCCACUCGACUCCUUGGGUGUUUGAGCUACCAAACCCAGCAGGAAGAGGGUGCGAGGCAAAGACCAAAGUACAGAGCAGCAGCUAGCUCAUCACUGUGCCUUCUUAGAGGGACUGAGAAAGAGACCUUCUGGCAUCUAUUGGUGUCAGAGAGACAUGCACAUAAACAAAUUGUAAUUUUCUAGGCCUUUAUUUAUUUUUGGUCAUUUUUAAAUUAGAGUCGAUCUACAGUGUUGUGCCAAUUUCUGAAGUUCCUGCUGUGGUGCAGUGGAAUUGGUGAUGUUUCUGCCAUGCCAGGAUGCAGGUUGGAUCCCUGGCCUGGCUUAUUAGGUUAAAGGAUCUGGCAUGCAGUCCAGCUGAGGCUUGGAACUGAUCCCUGGCCUGGAAAUUCCAUAUGCUGCCACAGGGCAACAAAAAAAAAAAAAAAAAAAAAAAAAAA